Molecule: ribosomal RNA, 448 nt
Filed under: uncultured bacterium
Lineage: Bacteria
Description: partial 16S ribosomal RNA
Rfam family: Bacterial small subunit ribosomal RNA
Source: RNAcentral
UCCAGACUCCUACGGGAGGCAGCAGUGGGGAAUAUUGCACAAUGGGGGAAACCCUGAUGCAGCGACGCCGCGUGAGUGAAGAAGUAAUUCGUUACGUAAAGCUCUCUCAGCAGGGACGAAGAUGACGGUACCUGCAGAAGAAGCCCCGGCUAACUACGUGCCAGCAGCCGCGGUAAUACGUAGGGGGCAAGCGUUAUCCGGAUUUACUGGGUGUAAAGGGAGCGUAGACGGCAGGGCAAGCCAGAAGUGAAAACGCAGAGCGUAACUUUGCGACUGCUUUUGGAACUGCCCAGCUAGAGUACAGGAGAGGUAAGUGGAAUUCCUAGUGUAGCGGUGAAAUGCGUAGAUAUUAGGAGGAACACCAGUGGCGAAGGCGGCGUACUGGACUGAGACUGACGUUGAGGCUCGAAAGCGUGGGGAGCAAACAGGAUUAGAUACCCUUGUAGAA